GAUGAACGCUGGCGGCGUGCCUAAUACAUGCAAGUCGAGCGAACAGACGAGGAGCUUGCUCCUCUGACGUUAGCGGCGGACGGGUGAGUAACACGUGGAUAACCUACCUAUAAGACUGGGAUAACUUCGGGAAACCGGAGCUAAUACCGGAGAAUAUAUUGAACCGCAUGGUGCAAUAGUGAAAGACGGUUUUGCUGUCACUUAUAGAUGGAUCCGCGCCGCAUUAGCUAGUUGGUAAGGUAACGGCUUACCAAGGCAACGAUGCGUAGCCGAGCUGAGAGGGUGAUCGGCCACCCUGGAGCGGAGCCACGGUCCAGACUCCUACGGGAGGCCGCAGUAGGCAAUCUUCCGCAAUGGGCGAAAGCCUGGCGGAGCAGCGCCGCGUGAGUGAUGAAGGUCUUCCGAUCGUAAAACUCUGUUAUUAGGGAAGAACAAAUGUGUAAGUAACUAUGCACGUCUUGACGGUACCUAAUCAGAAAGCCACGGCUAACUACGUG
Molecule: ribosomal RNA, 497 nt
Filed under: uncultured bacterium
Lineage: Bacteria
Description: partial 16S ribosomal RNA
Rfam family: Bacterial small subunit ribosomal RNA
Source: RNAcentral